Molecule: ribosomal RNA, 254 nt
Filed under: uncultured bacterium
Lineage: Bacteria
Description: partial 16S ribosomal RNA
Rfam family: Bacterial small subunit ribosomal RNA
Source: RNAcentral
UACGGGGGGGGGCAAGCGUUGUUCGGAAUUACUGGGCGUAAAGGGCUCGUAGGCGGCCAACUAAGUCAGGCGUGAAAUCCCUCGGCUUAACCGGGGAACUGCGUCUGAUACUGGAUGGCUCGAGUUUGGGAGAGGGAUGCGGAAUUCCAGGUGUAGCGGUGAAAUGCGUAGAUAUCUGGAGGAACACCGGUGGCGAAGGCGGCAUCCUGGACCAACACUGACGCUGAUGAGCGAAAGCCAGGGGAGCAAACGGG